RNAcentral lists this ribosomal RNA (1077 nucleotides) under uncultured organism. RNAcentral's name for it is "bacterial SSU rRNA". It matches the Rfam family "Bacterial small subunit ribosomal RNA", at positions 51 to 1124 of the family's 1533-position model. The record is from RNAcentral.
ACACAUGCAAGUCGAGGGGUAAGUCUCGCUUCGUGCGGGAACACGACCGGCGCACGGGUGAGUAACGCGUAUGCAACCUACCUUCAACUGGGAGAUAGCUCCCGGAAACGGGGAUUAAUAUCCCAUAAUGUUUUUUUACGGCAUCGUAAAAAAAUUAAAGCUCCGGCGGUUGAAGAUGGGCAUGCGUGACAUUAGCUAGUUGGUAAGGUAACGGCUUACCAAGGUUACGAUGUCUAGGGGGUCUGAGAGGAUGAUCCCCCACACUGGUACUGAGACACGGACCAGACGUCUACGGACGGCAGCAGUGAGGAAUAUUGGGCAAUGGACGAAAGUCUGACCCAGCCAUGCCGCGUGCAGGAUGACAGCCCUAUGGGUUGUAAACUGCUUUUCUGCGAGAAGAAACUUUCCGACGUGUCGGAAAUUGACGGUAUCGCAAGAAUAAGCAUCGGCUAACUCCGUGCCAGCAGCCGCGGUAAUACGGAGGAUGCAAGCGUUAUCCGGAUUUAUUGGGUUUAAAGGGUGCGUAGGCGGGAGAUUAAGUCAGUGGUGAAAUCCUGCAGCUUAACUGUAGAAUUGCCAUUGAUACUGAUUUCCUUGAGUGUAGUUGAGGUGGGCGGAAUGUGUAUUGUAGCGGUGAAAUGCAUAGAUCAUACACAGAACACCUAUUGCGAAGGCAGCUCACUAAACUAAUACUGACGCUGAGGCACGAAAGCGUGGGUAGCGAACAGGAUUAGAUACCCUGGUAGUCCACGCUGUAAACGUUGAUUACUCGAUGUGUGCGAUACACUGUACGCGUCUGAGCAAAAGCAUUAAGUAAUCCACCUGGGGAGUACGAUCGCAAGAUUGAAACUCAAAGGAAUUGACGGGGGGCCCGCACAAGCGGAGGAACAUGUGGUUUAAUUCGAUGAUACGCGAGGAACCUUACCUGGGGCUUAAAUGCAGAAUGACGUCCACCGAAAGGUGGAUUCCCUUCGGGGCAGACUGCAAGGUGCUGCAUGGUUGUCGUUCAGCUCGUGCCGUGAGGUGUCGGGUUAAGUCCCAUAACGGAGCGCAACCCCUAUUGUUAGUUGCCAGCGA